AGGACGAACGCUGGCGGCGUGCCUAAGUACAUGCAAGUCGAACGGUCUUUCUAUGGAAGCUUGCUUCCACUGAGAAGAUAGUGGCGAACGGGUGAGUAACACGUGGGUAACCUGCCCAUAAGAGGGGGAUAACAUCCGGAAACGGGUGCUAAUACCGCAUAGUUUCUUGAUUGCAUGAUUGAGAAAGGAAAGACGGCCUUUGUGCUGUCGCUUAUGGAUGGACCCGCGGCGUAUUAGUUAGUUGGUGAGGUAACGGCUCACCAAGACGAUGAUACGUAGCCGACCUGAGAGGGUGAUCGGCCACAUUGGGACUGAGACACGGCCCAAACUCCUACGGGAGGCAGCAGUAGGGAAUCUUCCGCAAUGGACGAAAGUCUGACGGAGCAACGCCGCGUGAGUGAAAGAAGGUUUUUCGGAUCGUAAAACUCUGUUGUCAGAGAAGAACAAGUUGGAGAGUAACUGCUCCAGCCUUGACGGUAUCUGACCAGAAAGCCACGGCUAACUACGUGCCAGCCGCCGC
This 520-nucleotide ribosomal RNA is filed under the name uncultured bacterium. RNAcentral's name for it is "bacterial SSU rRNA". It matches the Rfam family "Bacterial small subunit ribosomal RNA", at positions 26 to 518 of the family's 1533-position model. The record is from RNAcentral.